AUGGGAGAUCGCAGCGAGAUCUCGGCGCCGCCGCCGGCGAUCGAGCACGACAUCCCCGACGAGCUGCUCGAGCUAGUGUUCCUGCGCCUCCUCUGUCCUCGCAGCCUCGUCCGCGCCGCGUGUGCGUGCAAGCGCUGGCGCCGCAUCAUCGCUGACGGCGCCUUCCUCGGCCGCCUGCGGUCUCUCCGCGCGCCCCCUCUCGUCGCCGGACACUACCGCGUCGACGAGCCUGUGCACGGGGCGUGCCGGCCCGUCUGCAACCCGUCUUCUUCCCCUCGCCGUUGUUGGCGGACGCCGUCGGCCUGCGGCCUGAGCGCCUGUCGCUCGACUUCCUCCCGGGCUGCGACGGCGGCUCGUGGCACAUCGCCGACAGUCGAGGCGGCCUCCUCGUCCUGA
RNAcentral lists this ribosomal RNA (396 nucleotides) under Triticum aestivum (bread wheat). RNAcentral's name for it is "partial small subunit ribosomal RNA". Lineage: Eukaryota; Viridiplantae; Streptophyta; Magnoliopsida; Poales; Poaceae. The record is from RNAcentral.